CAUGAGGACAUCCAGAGUCUGAUUUUUCCCCAUAUUAAAAAUGCUUUAAUAUGGGGAAAAAUCGGACCCUGGAUGUCCUCAUGCAGAGCGA
Pelobates cultripes (western spadefoot toad) is the source of this 91-nucleotide non-coding RNA. Lineage: Eukaryota; Metazoa; Chordata; Amphibia; Anura; Pelobatidae. The record is from the annotation of a GenBank genome assembly.